AUGGAGCGCUCGCCGCUGCUCCGCUGGCUGCUGGGCUAUAGAGGGUUCAGGGAGCACCUCCUCGCCGACGACCUCUUCCUCGCCAAGCUCGCCAUGGAGAUGGGCGUCUGCAUGAUCGCCAAGACCGCUGCCGAGUACAAAAAGAGACGGGAGAACUUCGUCAAAGAAAUUGACAUCGUCAUCGCUGAUGUGGGACCAAGCGAUAUGUGA
RNAcentral lists this ribosomal RNA (210 nucleotides) under Triticum aestivum (bread wheat). RNAcentral describes it as "partial small subunit ribosomal RNA". Lineage: Eukaryota; Viridiplantae; Streptophyta; Magnoliopsida; Poales; Poaceae. The record is from RNAcentral.